UACGAAGGGUGCAAGCGUUACUCGGAAUUACUGGGCGUAAAGCGUGCGUAGGUGGUUUGUUAAGUCUGAUGUGAAAGCCCUGGGCUCAACCUGGGAACGGCAUUGGAAACUGGCUUACUAGAGUGCGGUAGAGGGGUGUGGAAUUCCCGGUGUAGCAGUGAAAUGCGUAGAUAUCGGGAGGAGCACCAGUGGCGAAGGCGACUACCUGGCCCAUUCUUGACGCUGAGGCGCGAAAGCUAGGGGAGCGAACGGG
This 253-nucleotide ribosomal RNA is filed under the name uncultured bacterium. RNAcentral's name for it is "partial 16S ribosomal RNA". It matches the Rfam family "Bacterial small subunit ribosomal RNA", at positions 524 to 776 of the family's 1533-position model. The record is from RNAcentral.